Molecule: transfer RNA, 67 nt
Filed under: Taxonus zhangi
Lineage: Eukaryota; Metazoa; Arthropoda; Insecta; Hymenoptera; Tenthredinidae
Description: tRNA-His
Rfam family: tRNA
About the family: Transfer RNA (tRNA) molecules are approximately 80 nucleotides in length.
Source: RNAcentral
AUUUAAGUAGUUUAAUUAAAACAUUGAUUUGUGGAGUCAUUAAUAUAAAAUAAAUUUAUCUUAAAUA